RNAcentral lists this transfer RNA (73 nucleotides) under Physcomitrium patens. RNAcentral describes it as "Physcomitrella patens tRNA". It matches the Rfam family "tRNA". Rfam says of the family: Transfer RNA (tRNA) molecules are approximately 80 nucleotides in length. Their secondary structure includes four short double-helical elements and three loops (D, anti-codon, and T loops). The record is from Rfam by way of RNAcentral. Lineage: Eukaryota; Viridiplantae; Streptophyta; Bryopsida; Funariales; Funariaceae.
GCCGUCCUAGAUCAUUUGGUAGAGCGCAAGGCUCUUAGUCUUGUGGUCCAAGGUUCGAGCCCCUGGGGUGUCG